GCCGGAGUGGUGGAAUUGGUAGACACGUCGGAUUCAAAAUCCGAUGGGGUUUGUAGCCCCGUGUGGGUUCAAGUCCCACCUCCGGUA
This 87-nucleotide transfer RNA is filed under the name Salinibacter ruber. RNAcentral describes it as "tRNA-Leu". It matches the Rfam family "tRNA". Rfam says of the family: Transfer RNA (tRNA) molecules are approximately 80 nucleotides in length. The record is from RNAcentral. Lineage: Bacteria; Pseudomonadati; Rhodothermota; Rhodothermia; Rhodothermales; Salinibacteraceae.